GGUCGGGGACAACAGUUGGAAACGACUGCUAAUACCGGAUGAGCCGAAUAGGUAAAAGAUUUAUCGCCUAGAGAGGGGCUCGCGUCUGAUUAGCUAGAUGGUGAGGUAAAGGCUUACCAUGGCGACGAUCAGUAGCUGGUCUGAGAGGAUGAGCAGCCACACUGGGACUGAGACACGGCCCAGACUCCUACGGGAGGCAGCAGUGGGGAAUUUUCCGCAAUGGGCGAAAGCCUGACGGAGCAAUACCGCGUGAGGGAGGAAGGCUCUUGGGUUGUAAACCUCAAAACUUAGGGAAGAAAAAAAUGACGGUACCUAAUGUAAGCAUCGGCUAACUCCGUGCCAGCAGCCGCGGUAAUACGGAGGAUGCAAGCGUUAUCCGGAAUCAUUGGGCGUAAAGAGUCCGUAGGUGGCACUUCAAGUCUGCUUUCAAAGACCGAAGCUCAACUUCGGAAAGGGAGUGGAAACUGAAGAGCUAGAGUAUAGUAGGGGUAGAGGGAAUUCCUAGUGUAGCGGUGAAAUGCGUAGAGAUUAGGAAGAACACCAGUGGCGAAGGCGCUCUACUGGGCAUAUACUGACACUGAGGGACGAAAGCUAGGGGAGCGAAAGGGAUUAGAUACCCCUGUAGUCCUAGCGGUAAACGAUGGAUACUAGGCGUAGUGCUGUUAGAAGGACUGUGCCGAAGCUAACGCGUUAAGUAUCCCGCCUGGGGAGUACGCACGCAAGUGUGAAACUCAAAGGAAUUGACGGGGACCCGCACAAGCGGUGGAGUAUGUGGUUUAAUUCGAUGCAACGCGAAGAACCUUACCAAGGCUUGACAUCCUGCGAAUCUUGGAGAAAUCUGAGAGUGCCUAAGGGAACGCAGAGACAGGUGGUGCAUGGCUGUCGUCAGCUCGUGUCGUGAGAUGUUGGGUUAAGUCCCGCAACGAGCGCAACCCUCGUCCUUAGUUGCCAGCAUUAAGUUGGGGACUCUAGGGAGACCGCCGGGGAGAACUCGGAGGAAGGUGGGGAUGACGUCAAGUCAGCAUGCCCCUUACGUCUUGGGCUACACACGUACUACAAUGGUUGGGACAAAGGGGAGCGAAACCGCGAGGUGGAGCGAAUCUCAUCAAACCCAGCCACAGUUCAGAUUGCAGGCUGAAACUCGCCUGCAUGAAGGAGGAAUCGCUAGUAAUCGCAGGUCAGCAUACUGCGGUGAAUCCGUUCCCGGGUCUUGUACACACCGCCCGUCACA
This 1231-nucleotide ribosomal RNA is filed under the name Synechococcus elongatus ISC 106. Its description in RNAcentral is "bacterial SSU rRNA". It matches the Rfam family "Bacterial small subunit ribosomal RNA", at positions 135 to 1401 of the family's 1533-position model. The record is from RNAcentral. Lineage: Bacteria; Bacillati; Cyanobacteriota; Cyanophyceae; Synechococcales; Synechococcaceae.